CCUACGGGUGGCAGCAGUGGGGAAUAUUGGACAAUGGGGGGAACCCUGAUCCAGCCAUGCCGCGUGUGUGAAGAAGGCCCUCGGGUUGUAAAGCACUUUCAGUGAGGAAGAACGCCUGGUGGUUAAUACCCAUCGGGAAAGACAUCACUCACAGAAGAAGCACCGGCUAACUCCGUGCCAGCAGCCGCGGUAAUACGGAGGGUGCGAGCGUUAAUCGGAAUUACUGGGCGUAAAGCGCGCGUAGGUGGCUUGAUAAGCCGGUUGUGAAAGCCCCGGGCUCAACCUGGGAACGGCAUCCGGAACUGUCAAGCUAGAGUGCAGGAGAGGAAGGUAGAAUUCCCGGUGUAGCGGUGAAAUGCGUAGAGAUCGGGAGGAAUACCAGUGGCGAAGGCGGCCUUCUGGACUGACACUGACACUGAGGUGCGAAAGCGUGGGUAGCAAACAGGAUUAGAUACCCUAGUAGUC
Molecule: ribosomal RNA, 465 nt
Filed under: Vreelandella stevensii
Lineage: Bacteria; Pseudomonadati; Pseudomonadota; Gammaproteobacteria; Oceanospirillales; Halomonadaceae
Description: partial 16S ribosomal RNA
Rfam family: Bacterial small subunit ribosomal RNA
Source: RNAcentral